This 73-nucleotide transfer RNA is filed under the name Streptococcus pneumoniae. RNAcentral describes it as "tRNA-Asp". It matches the Rfam family "tRNA". Rfam says of the family: Transfer RNA (tRNA) molecules are approximately 80 nucleotides in length. Their secondary structure includes four short double-helical elements and three loops (D, anti-codon, and T loops). The record is from RNAcentral. Lineage: Bacteria; Bacillati; Bacillota; Bacilli; Lactobacillales; Streptococcaceae.
GGUCCCGUUGUGUAGCGGUUAUAACGUCGCCCUGUCACGGCGAAGAUCGCGGGUUCGAUUCCCGUCGGGACCG